CCUACGGGAGGCAGCAGUAGGGAAUAUUGCUCAAUGGGGGAGACCCUGAAGCAGCAACGCCGCGUGGAGGAUGAAGGUUUUAGGAUUGUAAACUCCUUUUGUUAGAGAAGAUUAUGACGGUAUCUAACGAAUAAGCACCGGCUAAAUCCGUGCCAGCAGCCGCGGGAAAACGGAGGGUGCAAGCGUUACUCGGAAUCACUGGGCGUAAAGGGUGCGUAGGCGGGGUAAUAAGUCAGGCGUGAAGUCCUGUAGCUUAAAUACAGAACUGCAGUUGAAACUGUUGCUCUGGAGUGGGGGAGAGGUAUGUGGAAUUCUUGGUGUAGGGGUAAAAUGCGUAGAGAUCAAGAGGAAUACUCAUUGCGAAGGCGACCUGCUGGAACAUUACUGACGCUGAUGCACGAAAGCGUGGGGAGCGAACAGGAUUAGAUACCCCAGUAGUC
RNAcentral lists this ribosomal RNA (440 nucleotides) under uncultured bacterium. RNAcentral's name for it is "partial 16S ribosomal RNA". It matches the Rfam family "Bacterial small subunit ribosomal RNA", at positions 338 to 795 of the family's 1533-position model. The record is from RNAcentral.